This 254-nucleotide ribosomal RNA is filed under the name uncultured bacterium. RNAcentral describes it as "partial 16S ribosomal RNA". It matches the Rfam family "Bacterial small subunit ribosomal RNA", at positions 524 to 777 of the family's 1533-position model. The record is from RNAcentral.
UACGAAGGGGGCUAGCGUUGCUCGGAAUUACUGGGCGUAAAGGGCGCGUAGGCGGACUUUUAAGUCAGGGGUGAAAUCCUGAGGCUCAACCUCAGAACUGCCUUUGAUACUGAGGGUCUCGAGACCGGUAGAGGUAAGUGGAACUGCGAGUGUAGAGGUGAAAUUCGUAGAUAUUCGCAAGAACACCAGUGGCGAAGGCGGCUUACUGGACCGGUUCUGACGCUGAGGCGCGAAAGCGUGGGGAGCAAACAGGG